This 76-nucleotide transfer RNA is filed under the name Halorhodospira neutriphila. Its description in RNAcentral is "tRNA-Phe". It matches the Rfam family "tRNA". Rfam says of the family: Transfer RNA (tRNA) molecules are approximately 80 nucleotides in length. Their secondary structure includes four short double-helical elements and three loops (D, anti-codon, and T loops). Further hydrogen bonds mediate the characteristic L-shaped molecular structure. tRNAs have two regions of fundamental functional importance: the anti-codon, which is responsible for specific mRNA codon recognition, and the 3' end, to which the tRNAs corresponding amino acid is attached (by aminoacyl-tRNA synthetases). tRNAs cope with the degeneracy of the genetic code in two manners: having more than one tRNA (with a specific anti-codon) for a particular amino acid; and 'wobble' base-pairing, i.e. permitting non-standard base-pairing at the 3rd anti-codon position. The record is from RNAcentral. Lineage: Bacteria; Pseudomonadati; Pseudomonadota; Gammaproteobacteria; Chromatiales; Ectothiorhodospiraceae.
GGCCGGGUAGCUCAGUAGGUAGAGCAGUCGAUUGAAAAUCGACGUGUCGGCGGUUCGAUUCCGUCCCCGGCCACCA